Molecule: small RNA, 52 nt
Filed under: Caenorhabditis elegans
Lineage: Eukaryota; Metazoa; Nematoda; Chromadorea; Rhabditida; Rhabditidae
Description: Unclassified non-coding RNA Y77E11A.20
Source: RNAcentral
AAAUUGACUGAAAAUCGUCAAAAAUUGACUAAAAUCGUCAAAAAUUGACUAG